UUGUAUUUUCCGCUUUAUGAGUUGUAAAUUUUUCCUCUGAUGCGGUGUGGCCUCUUCAAAAUACGUGUCUUCUUCAUAUCCCCAAUACAAGUUCACUUUCUUUCCCUCCCAUGGCUUCACCACCGACAAUUAACCUCAUCUGGGUAGUCUUCUCCAGCGUACCCAUCGGAGAUCCUUGCUAUUCUUAGAACAUCACAGCUAACAGAACUUGAAGACGAUUGUUGCAGAAUAGGUCAAAAUUAGGGUUUGUAUUUUUUCAAAACAAACAGAGAUUAUGAGCACCUCCGUACAAUUUCCAGAAUAAAAAAUCGUGACCACCAUCUUCAACCAAACAGAGCACACGAUGGCGACGACCAACGGUGACACCCAUAUUUGUUGUUGCUAGCACGGUCUAAUAUUAAGGACUACCAUAACUACACAGUUGCACGCGUGCUGUUCUUGCGCAUAUGGGCGGAACAUUAUGGGGAUCUAUGAGGCACAUUAUACCAGCUUCCACAUCAACACUUAGCACCCCCGCUGCAACGCGGGGGGUGCUUCCUUCUAGUUUUUGUAAAAUAUUAACUUUCAAUUAUUAGAAUUUUCUACGGAUAGAUUUUGUUCGAGUCUAUAUCUCUAUAUAUAUUUUUAAAAGAUAAACUUCAUUCACCAAAGAAACCAUAAGCAAGUUCUCAAAUUAAGGACCGUAAGGAAAACCAGAAAUUAUAUCAAUACUAGGUUAGAACCCCGUGUAAUACACGGGUUGAAUAAAUGUAAUUUAAUUUAU
RNAcentral lists this long non-coding RNA (763 nucleotides) under Helianthus annuus (common sunflower). Its description in RNAcentral is "sRNA HanXRQr2_Chr07g0310051". The record is from RNAcentral. Lineage: Eukaryota; Viridiplantae; Streptophyta; Magnoliopsida; Asterales; Asteraceae.